AACUUGUUCCUACGUGUUCGUACAGAUUCAGUUUGAUUUCUGCGCUACAUUUUCACCGAUUUCAUCCGAAUUAUGGCUGAUUUGGUAUCCAAUGAAGUUGGGCAUUUGGAUGAAGAAUCCAAGAAACGUUACAGAGAGAAGUUGAACCUUGUUGGCACAACGGAUCCGUACCUUUUACAGAGAAGCAUGCUAAAAUCACCUGAGCAUUUUGCAACAGCCGACCUGCCUGAUCUCUCAUAUCCAGAUAUUUAUAAUUACCUCGUCGAUUCACCAUCUCCGUACACUGGAAAGGACCUUAAGGCAUACAAGAGUCUGGAUGCCUACAAGUAUUUCACAGCAGGUUUUAUGCAUGAUGGGCUGAUAUGGCAGAUUCCAAACAAGAAUCGAUUUCUUCUUAUGACCAAGGUAAAACACUCUCAACGGAUGAAUGAUCCUCCCCUCAGACCUUGGGUAGCAAUAGCGAAGGAUGGUCAGAUCCUGUGCUGCCACUGUACCUGCAUGGCUGGAUUGGGUGAAACAUGUUCACAUUCAGCAGCAUCCCUGUUCGCCCUGGAGACAUUAAUACGUAUGAAGACGGCCACUUCAUGCACAUCACUACCUUCCCAGAAACGAAAGUCAGAAGUUUCAACUCCUGAGGAAAGUGCUGCGGGAAAACUGCUGAAUGUUUCUCCACCAACUGGAGAGCAGAAAGCUGCCUUUUACAAGGCUUUGUCUGAAUGCGGUGGAAGCCCAGCAAUUUUGAGCAUUGUCCCUGACUAUGCUGACAACUUUGUGCCAAGGGCAGUGAAGCGAAAGCUUCCUGUACCUCUCUCACAGCUGCACGAUUCUGGCAAUAUGAAACUCAGCCCAGAUGAACUUGCACUAAAAUGCCGGUCAGAGCUGGAAAAGUUACAUUCCAUUACCAGAGAGCAUGUUUAUAUCUGCGGCAGACCAGUCAAAAACCUUACUUUGUCAUCAUUACCCUUGAAAGAUUCUUCAUUCCAUCUACAGCGUUUCAAACUGUCCUUCAGUUCAUCAAGUUCUGCACGCAGAUUUUUACACUCUGCAGUGAGGGAAUCCAUUGCUUCCCCAGUGAUAUCCGUCUGUGUGGCAGUAGUCACCAUGCCUUCUUUUCGAAUCUCAGCGUGCACCACAUCUUCACCAGCGGGUAGUUGAUCAUUUUCACAAGGGACAGACUGGGAAAUAUUGACAAGUGCUGCUGCCAAUGCCCUCUCGCGGUCUCUCUUGCGCUGCUUGAGAUUUUGUCUUCUCUCAAAGAUCUUCAAUGAACAUUUGAGUUUUCGUUUGUGAGGUGACUGGGUAUGCUCAAAUAUACUUGGCACAUAGUCUGGGGAUAGUGGAUCUGCGCUUUUUGCACCUGAAACAAUUAAACAAUCACAUUAUUCAUAAUGACUACCAUAAAUAAUUAAGCACGUUGUUGAAGGGGAUAUACCCAGUUCAAUUUGUUUCGUAAUGGCAUUUCAUAACUUGACAUAUUAAAAAACUGAAUAGAGUGAAAUCAUUCAGAUACUGUACCUCUCUGUUCAAGUUGCUACCAUUUUUAUUUUUUGCAUGAUGCCUCAUCUGAUUGGCUUGAAAACUUAACCAAUAAAAAUUUUAACCUUGUGCCAAUGGCUUGAAAACUUUAUCAAUGUAGAUUUUACCUUGUGCCAAAUGAAGUAACAAAAAGCCUCUUGUUCAAAAAUGCUUCAUUAAAAAAGAAUUGUUUCACAAGGUUCAUAAUAUAUACUUUUUAAAUUUCCUAAUGCAUUCACUCAUGAGAAUUAAUUGUUCAAUUCCAAUAUGAAGUUCAAUAUUUACAUUGAUAACGUUUUCAAGCCAAUCAGAUGAAGCAUCAUGAAAAAAUAAACAAAAAAUAAAAACGGAGGGGGGGGCGGGUGAACUGAAGAAAUCAUCCCAUUCCCUGCCUUGCUGCCUUUCUAAAAAUGCACCCAGCAUUUUCAACAAUCAUAUUUGUAUCAUCCCAUAUUGUAUUAUUUCAUAUUUUGUGAAACAAAUCAGGGGUGAAUAGUUUGUUUACAUACCUGAUAUGAAGUGCUCAUUGCAUAUCCUUGUGUAAAUCGUAGGUUUCCAUUGUUCACGACGAAUCGCCGCGAUCCAUUUAUCGCGUUUUUGGAUGUUUGCCGGAAAUCUAUAGAAGCUAAGAUUUGGUUUAUUGCCUCGUCUAUUGCUACAUCCAACAGCACAGCAGGUUUCCGGCAUUUUCAAGCUCAAAUAGCAGCAGAUGUAACGAGAAAGCGUGUGUGAGUCGUUGACCGGCACUGAAAUGUUGACCGGCAAGAUGGCCGCCAAGCUAAUGGGCGCGGCUGAUGACGUCAGCUGCAAAGCUGAAGCAAGCUACAGAAGCUCAUCCAGCUUGCGGUGCCUGCCUCCACCUGUCAGUGGAUCACCAGCUUCCUGACCAACAGGAGACAGCGUGUGAGGCUGGGGGUCAUCACAUCUGACACCCGGACCACCAAUACUGGAGCCCCUCAGGGCUCCUGAAGUAUGCAGACGACACCACUCUCAUCGGACUGAUCCAGGACGGUGAUGAGACUGCGUACAGAUAGGAGGUGGAGCGGCUGGUCCACUGGUGCAGCCAAAACCAUCUGGAGCUGAACCCGCUCAAGACCGUGGAGAUGACAGUGGAUUUCAGGCGAGACCCUUCACCACUUUUACCCCUCACUAUCCGCAGUAAUACUAUUCUCUCCACAGACACCUUCAAGUUCCUGGGAACCACAAUGUCUCGGGACCUGAAACGGACCGGCCACAUAGACUCUGUCCGGAAGAAGGCCCAGCAGAGGCUGUACUUCCUGAGACAGCUAAAGAAGUUCAACCUGCCGCGAGAGCUUCUGAAGACCUUCUACACUGCCAUCAUCCAGUCUGUCCUCUGCACCUCCAUCACUGUCUGGUUUUGAUCAGCCUCCAAACAAGACAAGCACAGACUACAACGGACAAUCAGAACUGCAGAAAAGAUCAUUGGAAUCAACCUCCCAUCUAUCCAAGACUUGUACCUGUCCAGGACCAGGAAACGUGCAAGGAACAUCUCUACAGACCCUUCUCACCCAGGUUGCAGUCUGUUUGAACUACUCCCCUCCGGACGGCGUUACAGAGCUCGGUACGCCAAAACCAGCAGACACAGAGACAGCUUCUUCCCCCAGGCUGUUGCUCUGAUGAACUCACACCACUCAUAGAGUCUCAGAGUCAUUACUGUGGAAUAACAUCCUGCUCUUCACACCUUUUUGAAUUUGUCUACAUUGUUUUUGCCAUUAUUCACACGUCCUGAGUGUUGUUAGUCACCUAAAUGUUGAACAGAGGGUGUGUUUUUACCGAAGUCAAAUUCCUUGUUUGGCACGCUCAAACAUGGCGAAUAAAAACUCUUGAAUCUUGAA
Syngnathus typhle (broad-nosed pipefish) is the source of this 3371-nucleotide RNA transcript. RefSeq lists it as uncharacterized. The record is from RefSeq and is a predicted model, not a curated record. The transcript is spliced from 5 exons. Lineage: Eukaryota; Metazoa; Chordata; Actinopteri; Syngnathiformes; Syngnathidae.